AGUCAAGCGAAGAAGGGCGUGCGGUGGAUGCCUUGGGGCUAAGGAGCGAAGAAGGGCGCGGCAAGCUGCGAAAAGCUCUGGGGAGUCGCAAACAGGCGUUGAUCCAGAGGUGCCCGAAUGGGGG
RNAcentral lists this ribosomal RNA (124 nucleotides) under bacterium. RNAcentral describes it as "partial 23S ribosomal RNA". It matches the Rfam family "Bacterial large subunit ribosomal RNA", at positions 1 to 124 of the family's 2925-position model. The record is from RNAcentral.